This 301-nucleotide ribosomal RNA is filed under the name uncultured bacterium. RNAcentral's name for it is "partial 16S ribosomal RNA". It matches the Rfam family "Bacterial small subunit ribosomal RNA", at positions 509 to 809 of the family's 1533-position model. The record is from RNAcentral.
CAGCCGCCGCGGGAAUACGUAGGGUGCAAGCGUUAAUCGGAAUUACUGGGCGUAAAGCGUGCGCAGGCGGUGUUGUAAGGCUGAUGUGAAAUCCCCGGGCUCAACCUGGGAACUGCAUUGGUGACUGCAGCGCUGGAGUGCGGCAGAGGGGGAUGGAAUUCCGCGUGUAGCAGUGAAAUGCGUAGAUAUGCGGAGGAACACCGAUGGCGAAGGCAAUCCCCUGGGCCUGCACUGACGCUCAUGCACGAAAGCGUGGGGAGCAAACAGGAUUAGAUACCCGAGUAGUCCCUGUCUCUUAUAA